UACAGAGGUGGCAAGCGUUGUUCGGAAUUCCUGGGCGUAAAGGGCGCGUAGGCGGCCUUCUAAGUCAGACGUGAAAUCCCCCGGCUUAACCUGGGAACUGCGUCUGAUACUGGGAGGCUUGAGUAUGGGAGAGGGAUGUAGAAUUCCAGGUGUAGCGGUGAAAUGCGUAGAUAUCUGGAGGAAUACCGGUGGCGAAGGCGGCAUCCUGGACCAUAACUGACGCUGAGGCGCGAAAGCUAGGGGAGCAAACGGG
Molecule: ribosomal RNA, 253 nt
Filed under: uncultured bacterium
Lineage: Bacteria
Description: partial 16S ribosomal RNA
Rfam family: Bacterial small subunit ribosomal RNA
Source: RNAcentral